CGCUAGCUACAGGCUUAACACAUGCAAGUCGAGGGGCAUCAGGAAGAAAGCUUGCUUUCUUUGCUGGCGACCGGCGCACGGGUGAGUAACACGUAUCCAACCUGCCCUUUACUCGGGGAUAGCCUUUCGAAAGAAAGAUUAAUACCCGAUAGCAUAAUGAUUCCGCAUGGUUUCAUUAUUAAAGGAUUCCGGUAAAGGAUGGGGAUGCGUUCCAUUAGGUUGUUGGUGAGGUAACGGCCCACCAAGCCUUCGAUGGAUAGGGGUUCUGAGAGGAAGGUCCCCCACAUUGGAACUGAGACACGGUCCAAACUCCUACGGGAGGCAGCAGUGAGGAAUAUUGGUCAAUGGGCGCUAGCCUGAACCAGCCAAGUAGCGUGAAGGAUGAAGGCUCUAUGGGUCGUAAACUUCUUUUAUAUAAGAAUAAAGUGCAGUAUGUAUACUGUUUUGUAUGUAUUAUAUGAAUAAGGAUCGGCUAACUCCGUGCCAGCAGCCGCGGUAAUACGGAGGAUCCGAGCGUUAUCCGGAUUUAUUGGGUUUAAAGGGAGCGUAGGUGGACUGGUAAGUCAGUUGUGAAAGUUUGCGGCUCAACCGUAAAAUUGCAGUUGAUACUGUCAGUCUUGAGUACAGUAGAGGUGGGCGGAAUUCGUGGUGUAGCGGUGAAAUGCUUAGAUAUCACGAAGAACUCCGAUUGCGAAGGCAGCUCACUGGACUGCAACUGACACUGAUGCUCGAAAGUGUGGGUAUCAAACAGGAUUAGAUACCCUGGUGGUCCACACAGUAAACGAUGAAUACUCGCUGUUUGCGAUAUGCAGUAAGCGGCCAAGCGAAAGCAUUAAGUAUUCCACCUGGGGAGUACGCCGGCAACGGUGAAACUCAAAGGAAUUGACGGGGGCCCGCACAAGCGGAGGAACAUGUGGUUUAAUUCGAUGAUACGCGAGGAACCUUACCCGGGCUUAAAUUGCAGUGGAAUGAUGUGGAAACAUGUCAGUGAGCAAUCACCGCUGUGAAGGUGCUGCAUGGUUGUCGUCAGCUCGUGCCGUGAGGUGUCGGCUUAAGUGCCAUAACGAGCGCAACCCUUAUCUUUAGUUACUAACAGGUUAUGCUGAGGACUCUAGAGAGACUGCCGUCGUAAGAUGUGAGGAAGGUGGGGAUGACGUCAAAUCAGCACGGCCCUUACGUCCGGGGCUACACACGUGUUACAAUGGGGGGUACAGAAGGCAGCUAGCGGGUGACCGUAUGCUAAUCCCAAAAUCCUCUCUCAGUUCGGAUCGAAGUCUGCAACCCGACUUCGUGAAGCUGGAUUCGCUAGUAAUCGCGCAUCAGCCACGGCGCGGUGAAUACGUUCCCGGGCCUUGUACACACCGCCCGUCAAGCCAUGGGAGCCGGGGGUACCCGAAGUACGUAACCGCAAGGAUCGUCCUAGGGUAAAACUGGUGACUGGGGCUAAGUCA
RNAcentral lists this ribosomal RNA (1451 nucleotides) under uncultured organism. Its description in RNAcentral is "SSU rRNA". It matches the Rfam family "Bacterial small subunit ribosomal RNA". The record is from RNAcentral.